This 502-nucleotide ribosomal RNA is filed under the name uncultured bacterium. RNAcentral describes it as "bacterial SSU rRNA". It matches the Rfam family "Bacterial small subunit ribosomal RNA", at positions 1 to 507 of the family's 1533-position model. The record is from RNAcentral.
CAUGCUAGACGAGUUUGAUAUGGCUCAGAUUGAACGCUGGCGGCAGGCUUAACACAUGCAAGUCGAGCGGAGACUUCGGUCUUAGCGGCGAACGGGUGAGUAAUACCUAGGAAUCUGCCUAUUAGUGGGGGAUAACGAAUCGAAAGGUUCGCUAAUACCGCAUACGUCCUGAGGGAGAAAGCGGGGGAUCGCAAGACCUCGCGCGAUUGGAGCGGCCGAUAUCGGAUUAGCUAGUUGGUGGGGUAAAGGCUCACCAAGGCGACGAUCCGUAGCGGGUCUGAGAGGACGACCCGCCACACUGGAACUGAGACACGGUCCAGACUCCUACGGGAGGCAGCAGGUGGGGUAAUUUUGGACAAUGGGGGCAACCCUGAUCCAGCCAUUCCGCGUGAGUGAAGAAGGCCUUCGGGUUGUAAAGCUCUUUCAGCAGGAACGAAACGGUGGUCCCUAAUACGGACUACUAAUGACGGUACCUGAAGAAGAAGCACCGGCUAACUACGUG